AAAUAAGAAGCAAUAAUGCAUUUAAUUUCGACUUAAAAAUAGAGUAUUUUACUCCUUAUUUA
RNAcentral lists this transfer RNA (62 nucleotides) under Cressida cressida. RNAcentral describes it as "tRNA-Arg". The record is from RNAcentral. Lineage: Eukaryota; Metazoa; Arthropoda; Insecta; Lepidoptera; Papilionidae.